RNAcentral lists this long non-coding RNA (2218 nucleotides) under Mus musculus (house mouse). Its description in RNAcentral is "long non-coding RNA chr3:5404567-5406785". Lineage: Eukaryota; Metazoa; Chordata; Mammalia; Rodentia; Muridae. The record is from RNAcentral.
UCUUGUGUCACAGAAAUCUACUCAUCUUGCACCUCCCAAGUAAUGGAGUCUAUAUUGAAAUUUCAGUGACGAAAACAUGACUUAUGCAAUCAUUUUCAGGUCAGCAUAUUAUGAAACUGGAGGCUUGUAGCUGCUAUUUCUGUUGUUAUUUCAGUGAACUUAUAACUCAAGAAAUCCAUAUUGCUCAAUACCUUCUCUCCUCCCUUCCCUCCGCUAAGCUUUAUAAUCAAGACAUAACCAAAUGAUAGAACUAUUUGAGGUAGCCUCAAAUAUUGAAUCCAGUUCUGUGUUUAUAAUAAAUGGAAUUCUUGCAGAUUUUUUAAGUAUAGUAUGUGUAGCAGCCACAUAACUAAUAUGUAAUACCAGUUAUACAUAUUCACCUAAAAUAUAAAGGCAUAUCUCCCUUAUAAUUUGAUUUGCAUUUAAGUUUGUCAUUUUUUUUCCAAAAGAUUGUUCUUAUUUACAUUCUUUAUAUAUAGCACUUGCCAAUUAUAUGUAUUUGUGAAGUUCAGAAAGAAUGUCAGGAAUGCUUAUUCUCAGUAUUACAAAUUAGACUUUUAUUUAAAUUUCAGUCUUUCAGUAUCACCCCUCUCUAACAAAAGGGUAAGUCAUCAUUGUGAUCGUAAGUUGUCUUUCUUCUAACUUAGCUCUGAAGCCUUGGGCACAGUAACAUCUGAUGUCUGUUGCACCAUGCUGCCCAGUUAGUUCCCUGUCCUCCAUCAUCCUGUCGGCUUUAGGUAGAAGAAGUAUGGAACCAGAGAAGCAACUUCAAUGUCUUCCAUUGGCUUCCCACCAACUCUUCUAUUCCCAAAGUUAUUUCCUGCCUAAUUAUGUGGAUACUCUUGGGACCAAAAAUGUUAGAGCUAUAACACAUUUUGGUGUCAUUGUCAUCCUGUUUUAUGUGCCAUGGUGACUUUAAUAUAUGUGUGUGUGUGUGUGUGUCUGAUAUAGAAAUCCAUGAUUGAUCAGUUACAGAAAAUAGAGUCUUUAAAAACCAACUAAUAUUGUCAAAGCAAUUGAAAGAUCUUUAUUUCACAUGUCAAUUUUGACUCAUGGUGACCCUUUGUAUGUGGUAGUCACAGCAUUGGUUUUUCUCUGCACUGGGUCAGAGGCCUUUGCUGGGACAAAGGACCAUUCUGCCAUAUGUCUAAUACUAGAGCCCAGAGUGCCCAUAUGAUCAGAGGAAAAAAGGAAAGAGAUAUUUAUGAAAUGAAGCUAUUUUUUUCAUGCAAUUCUACCAUAAUAAAAUGUAUAUCUUUAUCUGAAAUAUAUACCCUAUUUAUAACUAUCAGAAUUGCUGGGAAGAUAUUGGAAGCAGGUCCUCUAUAGCUAAAAAUGCAGUUAAGCUCUCCAGGUACCCAGGAACUCAGCGCUUCAUCUUUUUCCUUAUUAAAUUGUGUUUAAAAAAAAACAAAGCAAGCAGGGAGUGCUGUAAAGAGCAAAGUUCUACAAAUGUUGCUGGCUACUAGAAUCUACAAUUUCCAUUGAAUAAGUUGUUUGUUUUUUAGGGAUUUUAGACAUUAGCACCAGAGAAAAAUCAACAGGGCACCCAUCUGAUAGCCUGAGUUCCAGCACUUCCAGUCUACAUCUUUUGUAGGUAAUUUACCUUGUUGUGAAUCAGAGCAUUUUAAACAGCUCAUGUAGUGUAGCUGGCAACUCAUUCUCCUCAUUAUCUUCCCAGAGUAUUAUUUUUAAUGAACUAUGUACAUAUGUUUCAUAGUAAAAUGGGGACACCCCAGCAAAUAAUAACAAACAAAAAUUGUUUCCAAGUAAAAUGUGUCUGUAUUUCUUUUUUCUGUAAUUAUUUUUAUUAGCACAUUCAUCACAUGUAGUGUUGGAUUUCAUAAAAAGCAAUUUAAUCAAGCAUAUCAUGUAUAUUAAACAUAUUCAUCCAUCCAACAAAACCUCCUUCCAUGCCUUCUUCCUUCUAUUUGUCUCAUACCUUUUCCUAUUCUCCCAUUUGCUCUCAUAUUAUACAUAUGUCUAUAUGUACAUAUCUCUGUGUAUGUACACACACACACAUGCAUACACACACACACACAUAUAUAUACACACACACAGAAGUAUGUAUACAUGAUCAUGUGGCUUUACAUAAAAUCUAGUAUGUUCUAAUGAAAAAAAAUAGCUGAGUUUGGCUUAUUUUGCUAUUUAAUGAAUUAAUGACCUCUGUUGCUUUUAUUUCCCAGGAAAAGCCUUAAAUUUCAUUCUUCUUUAUGGC